AAUUUUCGGCUAUGGGGGCAACCCUGACCGCGCGACGCCGCGUGAGUGAAGAAGGUCCUCGGAUGGUAAAGCCCUGUUGUAAGGGAAGAACCGUACCAGUAGGGAAUGACUGGUACCUGACGGUACCUUACCAGCAAGCAACGGCUACCUACGUGCCAGCCGCCGCGGUAAUACGUAGGCGGCAAGCGUUAUCCGGGAUUAUUGGGCGUAAAGGGAGCGCAGGCGGCUUAUUAAGGCUGAGGUUAAAGUUCGGGGCUCAACCCCGUGAUGCCUUAGAAACUGGUAGGCUAGAGUGCAGGAGAGGUGAGUGGAAUUCCGUGUGUAGCGGUAAAAUGCGUAGAUAUAUGGAGAAACACCAGUGGCGAAGGCGGCUCACUGGCCUGUAACUGACGCUGAGGCUCGAAAGCGUGGGGAGCAAAUA
This 421-nucleotide ribosomal RNA is filed under the name uncultured bacterium. Its description in RNAcentral is "partial 16S ribosomal RNA". It matches the Rfam family "Bacterial small subunit ribosomal RNA", at positions 360 to 774 of the family's 1533-position model. The record is from RNAcentral.